Syzygium oleosum is the source of this 316-nucleotide long non-coding RNA. RefSeq lists it as uncharacterized. The transcript has 3 exons. The record is from RefSeq and is a predicted model, not a curated record. NCBI's taxonomy places the organism in Eukaryota, Viridiplantae, Streptophyta, Magnoliopsida, Myrtales, Myrtaceae.
AAACUGCACACAUUUUGUGAGGUGUCGAUGGUUGACCUUAGCUGAGUUAUAUCCUUCACACUGUGGAUCCAGUGAUCGCUCUCUUUCGAGUGGAUUUUACUAGAAGGGAGAAUUUUCAGAGCGUUAGCGAAAAUUGGCACAAAUGCUCUCACGCUUACUUAAGAUAGCUGAGGAAUUUAACUUGGCAGCAUACAUGACCAAUCAAGUUGUAGCUAAUCCAGGCAGUGGUGUAUUCGUAUCAGACCCAAAGAAACCUGCAGGCGGGCAUGUUCUGGCUCACGCAGCCACAAUUAGGUUGAUGUUUAGGAAAGGCAAA